This 831-nucleotide ribosomal RNA is filed under the name Triticum aestivum (bread wheat). RNAcentral's name for it is "partial small subunit ribosomal RNA". Lineage: Eukaryota; Viridiplantae; Streptophyta; Magnoliopsida; Poales; Poaceae. The record is from RNAcentral.
AUGGGUCUCCUGUCCAACAGGAUCGGGAAGGAGAGCCUGAAGGCGGGGGAUCACAUCUACUCGUGGAGGGCCGCGUGGGUCUACGCGCAUCACGGAAUAUAUGUGGGGGAUGAUAAGGUGAUUCAUUUUACCAGAGGAAGGGACCAAGAGGUCGGAACAGGAACGGUCAUUGAUUUUCUUCUUGUGAGUUCUGGCCCUACUAGGAGCACCACGCCAUGCUUGGUAUGCAGCAGCGAAGAAGCCACUACCACCGCGGAGACAAAUGGUGUGACAUCCUCUUGCCUCAGCUGUUUCCUGGCAGGGGGUGCCCUCUACCGUUUCGAGUAUGACGUCAACCCGGCGCUUUUCCUUGCCAAAGUGCGAGGAGGGACCUGCACGCUUGCCGCCACUGAUCCCGACGAGGUGGUUGUCCGACGCGCCAAAUACUUGUUGACCAAUGGUUUCAGGUGCUACAGCCUGUUCAAGAACAACUGCGAGGACUUUGCGAUAUACUGCAAGACUGGUCUGCUUGUGGCUGAGCAGGGCAACGUCGGGCUCGGGCAGAGUGGGCAGGCUGUGUCCAUCAUCGGCGGCCCUCUUGCUGCUGUGGUUUCGACCCCUUUCCGCCUAGUAACCACGAACAUCUAUGGAGUGGCGGUGAUGGCAGUCGGGGUGUACUGUGUCAGCAGGUACGCAGGUGACAUUGGCAACCGCCGAGACGUAUUGAAAGUGGAAGUGGAGGACCUGACUGCCGGGCUCGCAAGCGGCCGGAUUCGUCCGGCGAACAUCAGUCAGCUGGCAACUCCGGGGCAAGUCCAGGUUCCGGCAGUGACCACACUCGUUGCUGCUUAG